CCAAUAGCGUAUAUUAAAGUUGUUGCAGUUAAAAAGCUCGUAGUUGAAUUUCGGGAUCAAUAUGUCGGUCGUGCCUUGGUACGUACUGGCGUCAUUGGCUUCUCCCUUCUGAAGAACCGCGAUGUCAUUAAUUUGGUGUCGUGGGGAAUCAGGACUGUUACUUUGAAAAAAUUAGAGUGUUUAAAGCAGGCUCGCGCUUGAAUACAUUAGCAUGGAAUAAUGAAAUAGGACGUUUGAUUCUAUUUUGUUGGUUUCUAGGAUCGACGUAAUGAUUAAUAGAGAUAGUUGGGGGCAUUAGUAUUCAAUUGUCAGAGGUGAAAUUCUUGGAUUUAUUGAAGACUAACUACUGCGAAAGCAUUUGCCAAGGAUGUUUUCAUUAAUCAAGAACGAAAGUUAGGGGAUCGAAGACGAUCAGAUACCGUCGUAGUCUUAACCAUAAACUAUGCCGACUAGGGAUCGGAUGAUGUUAAUUUUUUAAUGACUCAUUCGGCGCCUUACG
This 499-nucleotide ribosomal RNA is filed under the name uncultured Glomeromycotina. RNAcentral's name for it is "partial small subunit ribosomal RNA". It matches the Rfam family "Eukaryotic small subunit ribosomal RNA", at positions 591 to 1092 of the family's 1831-position model. Lineage: Eukaryota; Fungi; Glomeromycota. The record is from RNAcentral.